UACGGAGGGUGCAAGCGUUAUCCGGAUUCACUGGGUUUAAAGGGUGUGUAGGCGGAUAUUUAAGUCAGUGGUGAAAUCUCCAGGCUCAACCUGGAAACUGCCAUUGAUACUAUUUAUCUUGAAUUCUGUUGAGGUGGGCGGAAUACAUCAUGUAGCGGUGAAAUGCUUAGAUAUGAUGUAGAACACCGAUUGCGAAGGCAGCUCACUAAGCAGACAUUGACGCUGAGGCACGAAAGCGUGGGGAUCGAACAGG
This 253-nucleotide ribosomal RNA is filed under the name uncultured bacterium. Its description in RNAcentral is "partial 16S ribosomal RNA". It matches the Rfam family "Bacterial small subunit ribosomal RNA", at positions 524 to 776 of the family's 1533-position model. The record is from RNAcentral.